CAAUAACGAAUGAAUCAAUAUGAGAUGUUGUGGAGAUGGUAAAAUUCUAAUACUAUGUUUAAUACAUCUCCUAGGCGAUAUAAGGUGGUUUGUUAAAAGAUGCUCAAAGAGCCACUCUUAUCUCGAAUUAUGUGCAUAACUCAAGUUGAGAAUAUUUUUUUAAUUUUAUGAUUAUGAGAUUUAUUUAUUCAAUUUCUUAACAAAUAUGAUGAUAAAAUGAUACAAUUUAUCCCUAGAUCUUGCAUGAUGUGUGGAAUUUUAUUUGAUACUUAUCAAGAAUUUUAUUUGAUUUUCGGAUCAACAAUAUUUGCCAAAUUGAAUAUCUUUGAGAUUGUUUUUCAAAAUUUAUUUAUGAAAUUUUAUUGGAAGUCUUUGGGGAUGGAUAUUGUGUAUUUUUGAUGUUGGAUAUGUUGAGGAUAUUAUAUAAAAUUUCUGAAAAUUCUGGACGAGAUUUUGAGUUUUAGGUUUUGGCUCUGGGACCGGUCCCAGACUUGGAGAGACCGGUCCCUCCGCCCGAACCGAUAUAAGGGUUUUGCGGUCUGUUUCUUUUUACUUUACCAAUUUCGUUCAAACUUCUCUCCAGAGCUUCUAAUAUCCCUAGGGUGCUUUUGCUUCCAUUCUUCAUCAAUUUACACUUGAUUUUGGUAUGAUUCUCGGAUUUUAUUUCGUUGUUGUCUUAUAAUCCGAAUUUAUGCUUUAUUUUCAGUUUUUGGGGAUUUGAUCUCAUUAUGUUGUUAAAUCUCUUCAUUUUUGCCCUGAUCUUACCUCUAGACAUGUUAGUCAGCAUUUUCAUGCAUUAUUCCAUACUUUGAUACAAUUGUUUGGUUGUUUUUGCUAUGUUUUCUUCAUCAAAACCUAAUUUUUCCAAUUUUUCGAAAAAUGUGAUUUUAUUGAUUUUUGAUGCUUGAUUUGUCCAUGAUUUUCUUGGUUAUGUGGCCCUAGGAUUAUCUAGCAUAUUACAUAUCAAUUUGCUAAAGUUUUUGGAAUCACAAAUCGAUUGUUCUUAUGUUCAAUAUGUAUAUAUCAUUGUGUUUGACAGGGGUUUCUUCGAAAAUGUACUCGUGGCUACUUGUUCUUGUGGUUCUUAUGGCUGGCGGUGGUCGUGGAAGUAAGCGACAGCGCUCAAAAGCUAAAAGGCCAAUUGAGUAUCAACCGGAGGAUGAAGAGAGCGAAUAUGCUCCUGGUGACGAUUCUGAGGAGGACGAGCCGGAUUGGGAGACUUUUGUUCCUGAGGUAUUAGCUAAGGAUAAGGAUACUGCGAAAGGCAAAGGAAAAGGAAAAGCCGUGGAUAAAGGCAAAGGAAAGGCGAUUGAGCGUCCCGGUCGUCGUAAGUUCGGGGGUGUUGAAAUUCGAGAACCGGG
RNAcentral lists this long non-coding RNA (1361 nucleotides) under Ananas comosus (pineapple). RNAcentral describes it as "long non-coding RNA (ACOM_LNC043507)". The record is from RNAcentral. Lineage: Eukaryota; Viridiplantae; Streptophyta; Magnoliopsida; Poales; Bromeliaceae.